This is a long non-coding RNA of Lingula anatina, 896 nucleotides long. RefSeq lists it as uncharacterized. Lineage: Eukaryota; Metazoa; Brachiopoda; Lingulata; Lingulida; Lingulidae. The record is from RefSeq and is a predicted model, not a curated record.
GCGAGCUAUCUUCUCGACUGUUCACUUGACAGCUGGACACUGUAAGAAGAGGACGCAGGAUAGGUGUGGUGGAGUUUCGAUCCCAAUUUGUAUGUUGUACCCAAGUUUGAAGCAAAGAGGUCUUGUGAUUUAAUGUAUUUACGUCUUAUAGCAUACAAAUGUACGUGGAAUUCGAUAAUGCGAUUUAUCUUCUCUGUCGACAUCUGUCAAAAGCACUUACGCCCGACGGAAGCUUUCCUGGUCUUCUGGUGGUAUUUUGGAACCGGACACAGACACUCGCUCGCAAGGAAAAUGCAGUGUGACGAAAUAGUACAUGGUCUUACGAUUUUCGAACCAUUUAAAGCCGGCAUAUUAAACUUUUGUUUACUAAGAUGGACUUUAUUCCAUUUUCCAAACUAUACUGAGAAAAAAAAAUCAGUUUUGUUUUCAAAUGUAUAUCCUAGGGAUCGAUCAUGAUCCUUAUCAAACUAUACGGUACCAACUCGGUUGUAUCUUAUUUCAUUCGAAAAUCAUUAAGCUCCUCCCCAGUUAUAUUUGAUUGAGCAAUAAAGUGAUCAUUAACGUGUUUUUGAUGCAAUAGUGUAUUUUCCAAUGUGUUCGCAUGUCACAACUUUAAAUCUUGAAUGUAAAAAUGCAAGUUGAGAUUUAAGUUUAUUAAGCAGAUUAGCUAACUGUAUCGUUUGCUGUAAAGUGUACACUGUAAAAGUCGAUUUUAUUUUCAUCAUUUUAAAGUUUUAUGAACACUAGUGAAUGACGAGCAAUUUAUGAAAAUAAAGGCACUGCUUUGGGUUGUUUUUGAUUUAAUCUCUAAGAUAAAGAAAUAAAGGCAACAUUGAUCUUAACUGAAUUUUCUGAACCUAAAAUCUGUUCAUUUUGAAUAUUUUGGCUUAUAAAAA